Molecule: long non-coding RNA, 444 nt
Filed under: Pongo abelii (Sumatran orangutan)
Lineage: Eukaryota; Metazoa; Chordata; Mammalia; Primates; Hominidae
Description: lincRNA
Source: RNAcentral
CUCUGACCUCUCUAUGGCAAGCCAAAUGGCCAUGGGAAGACCCCAUGGAGUGUUAGAAUGAUGCCGUUGAGGGCAAGGAUUUUAGACCGGUCAUGGAUUCUGCCUGUGCACUGGGCUCUACCACUUUCUAGCUAUCUGGCUACCAGCAAGUUACUUUAACAGUCUAAGUUUCAACCUCCCCAUUCGUGAAAUGGAGAUAAUGUCUUAGUCAUAGGGGUAGCAAGUUUACUGUAUAUCAAGAGUGUAGCACUGAGCCUGGCUCUUCGUAAGUGUUCAGCUAGAGUGCAGUGGGAUGAUCUCUGCUCACUGCAACCUCUGCCUCUGGGUUCAAGUGAUUCUCCUGCCUCAGCCUUAUAAGGAAACAGGCUGAGAGACGCAAGUCAAACAGCAAAGGAUGGGCUGGUGUCUGUCUGACUCCAAUACCAGUGGUCUUUUCUCUAUAAC